CGGAUCAGAAUGCCGCGGUGAAUACGUUCCCGGGUCUUGUACACACCGCCCGCCACACCAUGGGAGUUGGAAAUGCCCGAAGUCAGUGGCCCAACCGGAAGGGGGGAGCUGCCGAAGGCAGGUUCGAUGACUGGGGUGAAGUCGUAACAAGGUAGC
Molecule: ribosomal RNA, 156 nt
Filed under: uncultured bacterium
Lineage: Bacteria
Description: partial 16S ribosomal RNA
Rfam family: Bacterial small subunit ribosomal RNA
Source: RNAcentral